AGGUCUUGACAUCCUUGAAGAUGUUAGAAAUAACAUUGGCUCUUGGGAGCCAAAGUGACAGGUGGUGCAUGGUGUCGUCAGCUCGUGUCGUGAGAUGUUGGGUUAAGUCCCGCAACGAGCGCAACCCUUAUUGUUAGUUGCCAGCAUUUAGUUGGGCACUCUAGCGAGACUGCCGGUGACAAACCGGAGGAAGGCGGGGACGACGUCAGAUCAUCAUGCCCCUUAUGACCUGGGCUACACACGUGCUACAAUGGCGUAUACAACGAGUCGCAAACUCGCGAGGGUAAGCUAAUCUCUUAAAGUACGUCUCAGUUCGGAUUGUAGUCUGCAACUCGACUACAUGAAGUCGGAAUCGCUAGUAAUCGCGGAUCAGCAUGCCGCGGUGAAUACGUUCCCGGGUCUUGUACACACCGCCCGUCACACCAUGGAAGUUUGUAAUGCCCAAAGCCGGUGGCCUAACCUUUUGGAGGGAGCCGUCUAAGGCAGGACAGAUGACUGGGGUGAAGUCGUAACAAGGUAACCAAGGGCGAAUUCCAG
Molecule: ribosomal RNA, 537 nt
Filed under: uncultured Leuconostoc sp.
Lineage: Bacteria; Bacillati; Bacillota; Bacilli; Lactobacillales; Lactobacillaceae
Description: bacterial SSU rRNA
Rfam family: Bacterial small subunit ribosomal RNA
Source: RNAcentral